RNAcentral lists this ribosomal RNA (458 nucleotides) under Theileria annulata. Its description in RNAcentral is "SSU rRNA". It matches the Rfam family "Eukaryotic small subunit ribosomal RNA", at positions 486 to 984 of the family's 1831-position model. Lineage: Eukaryota; Apicomplexa; Aconoidasida; Piroplasmida; Theileriidae. The record is from RNAcentral.
CGGGGCUUAAAGUCUUGUAAUUGGAAUGAUGGGAAUUUAAACCUCUUCCAGAGUAUCAAUUGGAGGGCAAGUCUGGUGCCAGCAGCCGCGGUAAUUCCAGCUCCAAUAGCGUAUAUUAAAAUUGUUGCAGUUAAAAAGCUCGUAGUUGAAUUUCUGCUGCAUUGCUUGUGUCCCUCUUGGGUCUGUGCAUGUGGCUUUUUUCGGACGGGGUUUCUUUGUCUGAAUGUUUACUUUGAGAAAAUUAGAGUGCUCAAAGCAGGCUUUCGCCUUGAAUAGUUUAGCAUGGAAUAAUAAAGUAGGACUUUGGUUCUAUUUUGUUGGUUUUAGGUACCAAAGUAAUGGUUAAUAGGAACAGUUGGGGGCAUUCGUAUUUAACUGUCAGAGGUGAAAUUCUUAGAUUUGUUAAAGACGAACUACUGCGAAAGCAUUUGCCAAGGAUGUUUUCAUUAAUCAAGAAC